GACACCAGAAUUUUUUACGUGGAAAACCCCCCAAUGCGAAGAGAAAAACCACGGGACCUAAUCCAGUUCAAACUUCCACUAUCAAUAGUGUUACACUUGUCUUUUCUAGAAUAAUCUCUAGAGGCUGCCAAAUACAUCAAGAACACAUGUAGUCUUGGAUUAUACAAUCUCUCUUGUCAAAAACAAAGAAAAUUGGAGAAAAUAUACCAAAAAUGUCAUUACUAUUCAUGG
Molecule: long non-coding RNA, 231 nt
Filed under: Vitis vinifera (wine grape)
Lineage: Eukaryota; Viridiplantae; Streptophyta; Magnoliopsida; Vitales; Vitaceae
Description: long non-coding RNA (VVIN_LNC003939)
Source: RNAcentral